Molecule: ribosomal RNA, 72 nt
Filed under: Nanocnide japonica
Lineage: Eukaryota; Viridiplantae; Streptophyta; Magnoliopsida; Rosales; Urticaceae
Description: partial 18S rRNA
Source: RNAcentral
CUUCCGUAGGUGAACCUGCGGAAGGAUCAUUGUCGAUCAACUGCCCCGGCAGAACGACCCGUGAACUAGUUU